This 253-nucleotide ribosomal RNA is filed under the name uncultured bacterium. RNAcentral describes it as "partial 16S ribosomal RNA". It matches the Rfam family "Bacterial small subunit ribosomal RNA", at positions 524 to 776 of the family's 1533-position model. The record is from RNAcentral.
UACGAAGGGGGCUAGCGUUGUUCGGAGUUACUGGGCGUAAAGCGCGCGCAGGCGGCUAUCCAAGUCAGUGGUGAAAGCCCGGAGCUCAACUCCGGAACUGCCAUUGAAACUGUUUAGCUUGAGGACGAGAGAGGUGAGUGGAAUUCCCAGUGUAGAGGUGAAAUUCGUAGAUAUUGGGAAGAACACCGGUGGCGAAGGCGGCUCACUGGCUCGUAUCUGACGCUCAGGCGCGACAGCGUGGGGAUCAAACAGG